Entelurus aequoreus (snake pipefish) is the source of this 517-nucleotide long non-coding RNA. RefSeq lists it as uncharacterized. The transcript is spliced from 3 exons. Lineage: Eukaryota; Metazoa; Chordata; Actinopteri; Syngnathiformes; Syngnathidae. The record is from RefSeq and is a predicted model, not a curated record.
GAUUAGACUACUGUAUCGGCUUUCUCACUGCGCUCUCUAAAUGGGCUGUAAGGCAGCUGCAGUACAUCCAGAAUGCUGCUGCUCAAGUCCUGACUAGAACCAGAGGUUCACGGAGCCACAUGCGGCUCUAGAACCGCGGGUUGCUGACCCCCGCCUUAGUCCCAAACAUCGCAGGCCAAGAAUCUUCAUGUAACCGCACUCGUCACAUCAGCCCAGACCAGCAGCGACUUUCUGGAGCAACGAGAAAAAAACAAACUGAUGGGUGACGGGCCAUCGCCCAGCAGGUGAGGGGCUGUGCCCAGUGUGGCGCGAGCCCUCCGCCAUGACACGCGGGCCAUCUCUGCGCACGCCAGGCAGCUGGUCAGUGCGGUGUCGGGCCUGACAAUGGCCGUCAAUGCCCUGGCAACAGUUGGGAGGUCAUCUGGUUGCAGUGUCUCUUCAACAAAGCAACCAGGGGAUAAGGAGCGACAGGACAACCCGGCAGGAGAGCAAUCACGCAGGGGUGGACAGCAGCAAA